GAUGAACGCUGGCGGCGUGCCUAAUACAUGCAAGUCGAGCGAACAGACGAGGAGCUUGCUCCUCUGACGUUAGCGGCGGACGGGUGAGUAACACGUGGAUAACCUACCUAUAAGACUGGGAUAACUUCGGGAAACCGGAGCUAAUACCGGAUAAUAUAUUGAACCGCAUGGUUCAAUAGUGAAAGACGGUUUUGCUGUCACUUAUAGAUGGAUCCGCGCCGCAUUAGCUAGUUGGUAAGGUAACGGCUUACCAAGGCAACGAUGCGUAGCCGACCUGAGAGGGUGAUCGGCCACACUGGAACUGAGACACGGUCCAGACUCCUACGGGAGGCAGCAGUAGGGAAUAUGCCGCAAUGGGCGAAAGCCUGACGGAGCAACGCCGCGUGAGUGAUGAAGGUCUUCGGAUCGUAAAACUCUGUUAUUAGGGAAGAACAAAUGUGUAAGUAACUAUGCACGUCUUGACGGUACCUAAUCAGAAAGCCACGGCUAACUACGUG
Molecule: ribosomal RNA, 497 nt
Filed under: uncultured bacterium
Lineage: Bacteria
Description: partial 16S ribosomal RNA
Rfam family: Bacterial small subunit ribosomal RNA
Source: RNAcentral